Molecule: ribosomal RNA, 252 nt
Filed under: uncultured bacterium
Lineage: Bacteria
Description: partial 16S ribosomal RNA
Rfam family: Bacterial small subunit ribosomal RNA
Source: RNAcentral
ACGGAGGGUGCAAGCGUUGUCCGGAAUCACUGGGUGUAAAGGGUGUGUAGGUGGAUCUGUAAGUCAGAGGUGAAAGCCCACAGCUUAACUGUGGAACUGCCUUUGAUACUGCUGAUCUUGAGUACUGGAGGGGCUGCUAGAAUUCGUGGUGUAGCGGUGAAAUGCGUAGAUAUCACGAGGAAUACCAAAGGCGUAGGCAGGCAGCUGGACAGUUACUGACACUGAGGCACGAAAGCGUGGGGAGCAAACAGG